GAACCGGCUACUUCUUUAGCUCACGACGCCUUUGCCCCUCGAAUUGGCCUCCACGUGCGUCGAAUCUAUCCAAAAUCAGAACGAAUAUGUCAUAAUAUGAUAAGGGAACAAAGCCCAAUCAAAACAAUCGAAAAAUACCAAAAUUCUCGAAAUUAGCAAAAACCCGAGCAAAAUACUACUCCACAAUGCCUUUUCCUCUCAAAUCGACAUCCGAAUGCCUCGAAUCUAGCCACAAUAAUUCGAUUCAAUCAAUAAAAAUUAUAGGAAUUAAUUCCAUAUGGAAUUCUACACUUUCAUUAAAAAUCCGAAAUUGCACUCAAAAUUCGCCCGUGGGGGCCUGCGUCUCGGAAUCCGGCGAAACUUAUAAAAUCCGACUACCCAUUCCGAUACGAGUUCAACCAUACCAAAAUUAUCAAAUUCCGACAAUAACUCGACCUCCAAAUCUUAAUUUUUCAUUUUUGGAAGAUUUUCUUCCAUUUAAAUCCGAAUUAAAUGAUGAAAAUAACCAUGGAUUUAUGUAAUAUAAACAAUUUCGAGUAUAUGACACUUACUUGAGUUGAAAUCGUGAAGAACACCUCAAAAUCGCCCAAGAACCGAGCUCCAAA
This 605-nucleotide long non-coding RNA is filed under the name Nicotiana tabacum (common tobacco). RNAcentral's name for it is "long non-coding RNA (NTAB_LNC014787)". Lineage: Eukaryota; Viridiplantae; Streptophyta; Magnoliopsida; Solanales; Solanaceae. The record is from RNAcentral.